ACGAAAGUUGACACGUAAGUGCAAAUAACCCAAUAUUCGUGUGUAUACUUAUUUAUUUAUGUGAAUUGUUCUAAAUAUUCGUUUAUAUUUCAUUAUAGCAUUAUACAAACUGUUCGAGCACAAAGAAAAAUUCAAGUACCAAAGAGAAAAGCCAAUAACAUUACAUGGAAUAGAGUGGAGUGUCCUCGACAGCGUAAUAAUAUAGAUUGUGGAUAUUACACGUUGAGGUUUAUGAAAGAAACUCUUCUUAUGGAUCGAACAGAUAUUCCAUCUGAUUACUUUGAUGAAUAUAGAUGUGCUUAUUACUCAAAAGAUCAGUUGGAUGAAAUUAAAGAGGAAUUGUGUCAAUUCAUUAUCGAGCUACAGGUUUUGUGAGGUUAUAUAGCAUAUUUAGAAGAUAGAACUAGAAUGUGUUGAAAUACAUUUUGAUUAGCAUUUUUGGAGGUUAUUAGAAAUGUGUAGAUUUUUUGUAAAGGCAAACAUUUUCAAGUAUAUAUAUAAAUACUCAAAAAACUGCUGAAAUUAGAAGUAUAUUGUGUUGAACUAUAAUGUGUUUAUAAUGCAUAUAGAUUUUCAAGUAUAUGUGCAUAUUCAGAAGAUAGAACUACAAUGUGUUGAACUAUAAGGUGCAUAUAGAUUGGAUUCAAGCUCCAAUUUAUGAAAAUCUGCUGAAAUUUGCAAUUUACAGGUGCUAAAUAAUGUGGUGAAAACGUAUAAAAAGAUCCUCCAAAAUUUGGAGUCUUAGACAGCGCUUUUAGGCAAAAAGCGCUGGUAAAGGCAUUUUAAUUUUGACCUUAGACAGCGCUUUUAUCAAAAAAGCGCUGGCAUAGGUGGUUAAUUCAACAAAAUAUAGUGUAAAA
Molecule: long non-coding RNA, 860 nt
Organism: Lathyrus oleraceus (garden pea)
Lineage: Eukaryota; Viridiplantae; Streptophyta; Magnoliopsida; Fabales; Fabaceae
Exons: 4
Source: RefSeq, a predicted model, not a curated record